GACGGUACCGGGUGAGGAAGCACCGGCUAACUCCGUGCCAGCAGCCGCGGUAAUACGGGGGGUGCGAGCGUUGUCCGGAAUUACUGGGCGUAAAGAGUUCGUAGGCGGUUUGUCGCGUCGUUUGUGAAAACCAGCAGCUCAACUGCUGGCUUGCAGGCGAUACGGGCAGACUUGAGUACUGCAGGGGAGACUGGAAUUCCUGGUGUAGCGGUGAAAUGCGCAGAUAUCAGGAGGAACACCGGUGGCGAAGGCGGGUCUCUGGGCAGUAACUGACGCUGAGGAACGAAAGCGUGGGUAGCGAACAGGAUUAGAUACCCUGGUAGUCCACGCCGUAAACGGUGGGCGCUAGGUGUGGGUUCCUUCCACGGAAUCCGUGCCGUAGCUAACGCAUUAAGCGCCCCGCCUGGGGAGUACGGCCGCAAGGCUAAAACUCAAAGGAAUUGACGG
RNAcentral lists this ribosomal RNA (447 nucleotides) under uncultured bacterium. RNAcentral's name for it is "bacterial SSU rRNA". It matches the Rfam family "Bacterial small subunit ribosomal RNA", at positions 471 to 916 of the family's 1533-position model. The record is from RNAcentral.